AUGUUUUCAGAUGAGAAAGGUUUCCAGGGAUCCAGGACUAUGGGGUGCAGGGUUUGGAAUUCCAGGGAUCCAGGGCUGUGGGGUGCAGGGUUUGGAAUUCCAGGGAUCCAGGGCUGUGGGGUGCAGGGUUUGGGAUUCCAGGGAUCCAGGAAUAUGGGGUGCAGGGUCUGGGAUUCCAGGGAUCCAGGGCUAUGGGGUGCAGGGUUUGGGAUUCCAGGGAUCCAGGGCUAUGGGGUGCAAGGUUUGGGAUUCCAGGGAUCCAGGGCUGUGGGGUGCAGGGUUUGGGAUUCCAGGGAUCCAGGAGUAUGGGGGUGCAGGCUUUGGAAUUCCAGGGAUCCAGGAGUAUGGGGUGCAGGGUUUGGUAUUCCAGGGAUCCAGGGCUAUGGGGUGCAGGGUUUGGGAUUCCAGGAGUAUGGGGGUGCAGGGUUUGGGAUUCCAGGGAUCUGGGCCACCAGGGAUGUGGGGUGCAGGGUUUGGGAUUCCAGGUAUCCAGGGCUGUGGGGUGCAGGGUUUGGGAUUCCAGGGAUCCAGGAGUAUGGGGUGCAGGGUUUGGGAUUCCAGGGAUCCAGGGCUAUGGGGUGCAGGGUCUGGGAUUCCAGGGAUCUGAGAGUGUGGGGUCUGGCAUUCCAGGGAUCUGGGCUGGCAGGGAUAUGGGGUGCAGGGUGCUGCGUGUGCACAGUGCUGGGGUGCAGCACAGUGGCUUUUCCCCGUGCCAAGGCCAGGAUACCCCUUGGUUCUGCUCUGGGGUUCCCUCUCACAGGAGUUCUCUCCCUUCUGCUCCCGCAGCUGCUGUUGCAGGGCUGGUGCUGGCCCAGCUCCGGGGGAGGUUCAGCAGGGCUGGAUGAGGGAAUUUUUCCACUUUCAGCACAGGCACUGCUGUGGGUGUGCACUAGAGGGUGGUGCAGCCUUGUGUGCCCUGAAAUCCUCCCGGACUGGCACACGGGGAGCUGGAAUCGCUCCCUGCUCACACUUAGAGGUGACAAUUUGUCUUUACAGCACGGAUGUGAUCCCUGUGACACGAACAAACCGUGUGUUCUCUCCAAACCCACUCAGCCUGACUGCUGA
This 1065-nucleotide long non-coding RNA is filed under the name Taeniopygia guttata (zebra finch). RNAcentral describes it as "lncRNA (ENSTGUG00000021925.1)". Lineage: Eukaryota; Metazoa; Chordata; Aves; Passeriformes; Estrildidae. The record is from RNAcentral.